Molecule: ribosomal RNA, 468 nt
Filed under: uncultured bacterium
Lineage: Bacteria
Description: partial 16S ribosomal RNA
Rfam family: Bacterial small subunit ribosomal RNA
Source: RNAcentral
GACGAACGCUGGCGGCGUGCUUAACACAUGCAAGUCGAACGGAAAGACCCUGCUUUUGUGGGGUGCUCGAGUGGCGAACGGGUGAGUAACACGUGAGUAACCUGCCCUUGACUUUGGGAUAACUUCAGGAAACUGGGGCUAAUACCGGAUAGGAGCUCCUGCUGCAUGGUGGGGGUUGGAAAGUUUCGGCGGUUGGGGAUGGACUCGCGGCUUAUCAGCUUGUUGGUGGGGUAGUGGCUUACCAAGGCUUUGACGGGUAGCCGGCCUGAGAGGGUGACCGGCCACAUUGGGACUGAGAUACGGCCCAGACUCCUACGGGAGGCAGCAGUGGGGAAUAUUGCACAAUGGGCGGAAGCCUGAUGCAGCAACGCCGCGUGCGGGAUGACGGCCCUCGGGUUGUAAACCGCUUUCGCCUGUGACGAAGCGUGAGUGACGGUAAUGGGUAAAGAAGCACCGGCUAACUACGUG